RNAcentral lists this transfer RNA (77 nucleotides) under Heliobacterium chlorum. RNAcentral's name for it is "tRNA-Arg". It matches the Rfam family "tRNA". From Rfam's summary of the family: Transfer RNA (tRNA) molecules are approximately 80 nucleotides in length. Their secondary structure includes four short double-helical elements and three loops (D, anti-codon, and T loops). Lineage: Bacteria; Bacillati; Bacillota; Clostridia; Eubacteriales; Heliobacteriaceae. RNAcentral also lists the same sequence under 1 other name. The record is from RNAcentral.
GCGCUUGUAGCUCAGUUGGAUAGAGCAACCGCCUUCUAAGCGGUCGGUCGGGGGUUCGAAUCCCUCCAGGCGCGCCA